Molecule: long non-coding RNA, 2181 nt
Organism: Carassius gibelio (silver crucian carp)
Lineage: Eukaryota; Metazoa; Chordata; Actinopteri; Cypriniformes; Cyprinidae
Exons: 9
Source: RefSeq, a predicted model, not a curated record
UGUGUGCGCGUGCCCAGUAUUCGUCUCUUUUAGCCACCCAGAGAGAGAGAAGAGGAUAAUCCCAGCGACAUCUGUGGCUCUGAGGCUUCCAGAAAUAAUCCGGUGAAAUAAUAUGGUGAGCUAUUGUUGCUGUUGCUUCUGAACUACAAAAUGAUUUUUAAAUGUAUUAUUGAAUGAGACUGUACAUUAUAAAUGUAAUGCUUUAACUCUAGAUGUUUGUUUGUGUAAAUGCUGUGUGUGCGGUGAGUCCUGCACGAGCGGGGAGCAGAGUUGCCAUGGAAACGGGGCGUCAACACAAAAACCGUUACUGGCAAACAGUAAUCUCCGUCUCUCGCUGCGGUUUACACUGUUUUAGAAACGGUUUAGUGUCUUCGGAAAGUCCGUUAUCAUUUUAGCAGUUUUCAGGUAACGUUAGGCUAACUCUAUAGACUGAGCUCUUGUUGAUGAAACUCUGGGCUUUUAAUCAAAUCUUCGAUUUGAUUAAAACAAAAUGAUUUUUAAAUUAAUUAUUGAAUGAUUAUUGAACGAGACUGUACAUUAUAAAUGUAAUGUUUUAACUCUAGAUGUUUGUUUGUGUGAAUGCUGUGUGUGCGGUGAGUUCUGCGCGAGCGGGGAGCAGAGUUGCCAUGGAAACGGGGCGUCAACACAAAAACCGUUACUGGCAAACAGUAAUCUCCUUCUCUCGCUGCGGUUUACACUGUUUUAGAAACGGUUUAUUUUCUUCGGAAAAGUCCGUUAGCAUUUUAGCAGUUUUCAGGAGGACAGAAAGAAACUCUACAGAACAGAAGUGAAGCUCCAAGAUUUCAACAUUUAUGAAGGGAGAUACUGACUUAGAAAUACAGGUGAACUGAAGAAGCUCAUGAAAUACAUGAAUAUGCCUUUUUCAGAAUACAUUUCACCAAUUUUAAGAAGUCCCUGACAUCAUGACCUUGUUUCCUUCUAAUGAACCUGGAACUGCAGAGUAAAUAUUGUUGACUCUGUGUCAGAUUGCUUGUUUUGUUCCUGGACUCUUCAGUGAUGAUGAGCAGAGUCUGAGUGAACCUGCUGUCAGACAGGUUGGCCUGAUUGACGAUUACAUCGUCCAUCGCCGAUGGCUGAUAGACAUCACGAUGCUGCGCCGGCAAACAGCGUCAUCAGCUGCAGUAUCUCGCCCGUGCAUCUGUUGUCAUGCGACAGAGAAGUCACGUUCUAUAGAGAGUUUCUACAGACAGUUGUGAACGUGCUGACAGCUGGUUGCCCAGGCUAUGGAUUAAAGGGCCAGCAGAGCCCUGCUCACCCUGACGGCCCACCGCUGCUGUCAGACAACAUCUCAAAGAUGCUAUAAACUGCAGGACUAGAUGGCCAUCCCAAGGUUUCUAGAGAUUACAGCAGCUCCAGACUGAAUCCAAACUCACUCGUGAAGACUUCAGAUGACACCAACGCUCACAAAGACUGUAGACGACAACUGUACAUGAACACACAAAACAUUGGACACACAAAACAAAUAUUAUCCUUAUUUUGCCUAUAAGGGUAAAUUUGAUGAUUUUCAAACUGCUUUAUUGUAACGUCUCUUAUAUCUGUAAAUGAACAAUAUUUACUCUCUGAGUUAUGUGGACCUACAUGUCCCCUUUUAUUUGUAAGCAUCACUUUAAAAAUGUUGAAAGAUAAUGUUAAUGUUAACUGAAUGCAAAACUAGAGACUUGUUUAGUAAGAUUUUAUCAGAAAAUAUUUUUGAACUUUUAUCAUGCAAUUUAAAACAUUUUAAUUGCUUAAUUAUAUUGUUUACCUGGUUUUAUUUUGUGUUUAUGUAACUUUUUAAAAAGUUCUUGGCAUAAAGUUUGCAUGCGAUGCUGACAGCACUGAACACAUGACUUUUUAUUAUGAACUAGAUGGUCUUCCCAGUGAGUCUCAGUCAUCUCUGGCUUUUUAAACUGUAACCUUGAAACAUGCAUUUCCUGUAAACCUACUUUGAAAUAAGUAUUGUCAAAAGGUGCUAUACUCAUACAACAUUUAACCAUGCAAGUACUGUAGUAAUGGUUAUUUUUGUUUUUACUAUGGUUUUACUGCAAAAGCUGUAGUAAAAUCAUGGUUAAUGUUCAAAAGACUACAAAUAAUCCCGAAUUAUCCACUUUUGAUCAAAGCAUCUGGUAAAUGUUAUUGUAUUUGUACAUGUAAUAUGAAAUAAAUGUAAAUAUUAAUAAA